ACUGCUCAGUAACACGUGGAUAAUCUACCCUUAGGUCUGGAAUAACCCCGGGAAACUGGGGAUAAUACCGGAUAGAUCAUAGAUGCUGGAAUGCCCUAUGUUCCAAAGCUCCGGCGCCUAAGGAUGAGUCUGCGGUCUAUCAGGUUGUAGUGGGUGUAACGUACCUACUAGCCGACGACGGAUACGGGUUGUGAGAGCAAGAGCCCGGAGAUGGAUUCUGAGACACGAAUCCAGGCCCUACGGGGUGCAGCAGGCGCGAACACUUCACAAUGCGGGAAACCGCGAUAAGGGAACCCCGAGUGCCAGCACCAAGUGUUGGCUGUCCAGAUGAAUAAAUCUCAUUUGUUAGCAAGGGCCGGGCAAGACCGGUGCCAGCCGCCGCGGUAACACCGGCGGCCCGAGUGGUAACCGUUUUUAUUGGGUCUAAAGGGUCCGUAGCCGGUCUGAUCAGUCUUUUGGGAAAUCUGGCAGCUUAACUGUCAGGCUUCUAAGAGAUACUGUCAGGCUUGGGACCGGGAGAGGUAAGGGGUACUCCAAGGGUAGGAGUGAAAUCUUGUAAUCCUUGGGGGACCAUCUGUGGCGAAGGCGCCUUACCAGAACGGGUCCGACGGUGAGGGACGAAAGCUAGGGGAGCAAACCGGAUUAGAUACCCGGGUAGUCCUAGCUGUAAACGAUGCUCGCUAGGUGUCAGGCACGGUGCGUCCGUGUUUGGUGCCGUAGGGAAGCCGAGAAGCGAGCCACCUGCGAAGUACGGUCGCAAGGCUGAAACUUAAAGGAAUUGGCGGGGGAGCAC
Molecule: ribosomal RNA, 793 nt
Filed under: uncultured archaeon
Lineage: Archaea
Description: bacterial SSU rRNA
Rfam family: Archaeal small subunit ribosomal RNA
Source: RNAcentral